AUUUAAUUAGUGCAUGUAUGUAGAAAAUGUAAUCUGUGGUAAUUAUCUAUAAUUAUGUUUUCCUUGCAAUUUAAAAUAACUUCUCUUUUUCAGUAGGAUACAACCCUCUUUUUCACUUUUCACCACCUUCCAUAACAUUGAUUGCCUUUUUGUCAAGAGAGAAUGCACCACUUGAACUAGAAGAAAUAUCAAGGAGGUAGUAACUGGUUAGUUAUUCAGGGACAGAAAUACUUUAUAUGGAGGUCGAAUGGGUUGUUUAAACAAUGGCUAUCAAAUAAAACAACAAUGCAGAUAAUUAAGGAAAAUCUUGCCAACACUGAGAUCUAUUGUAUCAUUCAGAAGUCUGUUGUAGGAAAGUGGCAGAAUCUUUUGUUUCAUCUAUAACAUGAAUCUGGUGCUUCUGUUCAUGAAUCUGCUUUCUGACAGAGAUGACAGUGGAAAUGGAAUGAAGGCAUAGGAGAAGGAUUAAUUUGGACAGCUGAUUUUAUGUCCUUCCUGAAAAUGUGGCAUUCAGGGCCACGAAGAAAGAAACUUCAGUGUGAGAAAGCUGCUGUCUGAGAUUUCCAACAGAGAAUGCUUUCAGGAGCACUCCCAAGGAGCCACCUUCAGAGCAUCCCAGGACAGAAUAUCUCACAACCCGUUAUUGGAAGACAUUACCAAACUCUGUCAAAUUUGGAUGUCAGAUUAUGUUAUACAUUAUAAAUUACAGCAGCAGAUGUUCUUUUAAAAAGUUGUGGUUUCUUUAAAUGAUCUAGCUGAUGCAACUCCUUGAGUCACUGUGGUGAGAGACAAAAUUGAUGACAGGCUGAUUUAGUGGUGCACUUUUUAACCAACAGUUUGAAGAGAUUAGGAGGUUGUCAGAAAGAUAUCAAGAGAGGUAAAGGGAUUAAUUUGAAAAGUAGUUUUAAAUUAAAAAAAAUAAAGAGUUUCUUUGAAAACUCUUUUCUAUGUGA
Molecule: long non-coding RNA, 953 nt
Filed under: Cyanistes caeruleus (blue tit)
Lineage: Eukaryota; Metazoa; Chordata; Aves; Passeriformes; Paridae
Description: lncRNA (ENSCCEG00000015723.1)
Source: RNAcentral